GAACUAUUAACUCAGUUGGCAGAGUAUCGCUCUUUUAAAGCGAGAGUCCUCAGUUCGAGUCUGAGAUAGUUCA
This 73-nucleotide transfer RNA is filed under the name Caudoviricetes sp. RNAcentral describes it as "tRNA-Lys". It matches the Rfam family "tRNA". From Rfam's summary of the family: Transfer RNA (tRNA) molecules are approximately 80 nucleotides in length. Lineage: Duplodnaviria; Heunggongvirae; Uroviricota; Caudoviricetes. The record is from RNAcentral.